This is a transfer RNA of Selaginella moellendorffii, 71 nucleotides long. It matches the Rfam family "tRNA". From Rfam's summary of the family: Transfer RNA (tRNA) molecules are approximately 80 nucleotides in length. Their secondary structure includes four short double-helical elements and three loops (D, anti-codon, and T loops). Further hydrogen bonds mediate the characteristic L-shaped molecular structure. tRNAs have two regions of fundamental functional importance: the anti-codon, which is responsible for specific mRNA codon recognition, and the 3' end, to which the tRNAs corresponding amino acid is attached (by aminoacyl-tRNA synthetases). tRNAs cope with the degeneracy of the genetic code in two manners: having more than one tRNA (with a specific anti-codon) for a particular amino acid; and 'wobble' base-pairing, i.e. permitting non-standard base-pairing at the 3rd anti-codon position. The record is from Rfam. NCBI's taxonomy places the organism in Eukaryota, Viridiplantae, Streptophyta, Lycopodiopsida, Selaginellales, Selaginellaceae.
GGCCCCAUAGUGUAGUGGAAGCACAUUUGAACUUAGCUCAAAAGUCGUGGGCUCGAAACCCACUGGGGCUA